AUGGGGAGAGGAGCGCUGCCCUUGAGGGCGUGGUUCCUGCGCAGGGCUGCGAUGUUGGUCCGUUGGGACCGGCGCAGCCAGGCAAAGGGAAAGGGGCGGCGGUUGGAGGGGCGUCGCCGUGUGGAGGAGAUGUUGGAGUGGCUGAGCCUCACGGCGACGGAGGCGAAUCCGGUGAUCCUGGACGAUGAGGACGAGGUCGACCUGGUGGCUCCGGAUUGCGCCCUGGUGGGGAAGGUCUUGUCCCCCAACACGCUCCACAUCCAUACGAUCUCGUCGGUGAUGAGACCGGCGUGGGGCAACCCAAAAGGCUUGCUGUUCCACCCCGCGGGUGACUAUUUGUUCGUGGCUGAAUUUGGCACCGAGGCAGACAGAGCCAGGGUGGUCGAAGUCUCACCAUGGAUGGUGGGCAAACAUGCAGUGCUGCUAAAGUUGCCUCCAAGAUUGAUGAAGGAAAAACUUGGGAUGCAAUUUGCUAAACCAAUUGGUCGAAUCUCCAAGGUGGAGUCUGACGCAGAUGGCCGCUGCUGGGGAGGUUUUAUGAGGGUGAGAGCUGAGAUUGUUGUACAGGAGCCGAUCGUUCGAUAUGUGACAGUAACUUCGGCAAAGCUCAAAACUACUGAAACUUACUCUGUGACGUAUGAGCGGCUGCCGUUUCACUGCUUCUCCUGUGGUAUCCUUGGCCACUCUUCGAUCUUGUGCCCCAAUCCAGGCGUCAGAGAUGAAAAUGGGGACCUACCCUAUGCCUCAAAGAAGAUGUCAAUCCGAGGAAAUCGGGAGGUUCAAAGUCCAGUAAUGCAUCAACGUCUGCUGAUGGGGAGGAAAACUAUGUUGGUGCUCACUCAUCUUCCUCAAACCGGACCAAGCCCAGAGACCAGACAGGCACGGUUGGCGGGGAUGGGGAGGUGUCAUCUCCUCUCAGGAAAGGAGGGGCGGCCCGGGGCCGAGGGCGCCCUACUCGUGGACGGGGAAAAGGGCGAGAUGGCGGCUCAGGUAGAGAGUUGUUCCUUGUGCAACAAAAGAAGACUGGUACGGCUGGCUAGAAGAGGAAAUCUGCUAAAGCCCAAGCUUCAACUGCGGCCCUUGGACCUGUAG
RNAcentral lists this ribosomal RNA (1092 nucleotides) under Triticum aestivum (bread wheat). RNAcentral describes it as "partial small subunit ribosomal RNA". Lineage: Eukaryota; Viridiplantae; Streptophyta; Magnoliopsida; Poales; Poaceae. The record is from RNAcentral.